CCACUUAAAAAAAAUUAGGGGGUGUUUGGAUUGACGAAUUUGUAAAUCCAACCUAAUUCAAGUACAGUGGUGUUUGAGUUUUUCUAAAGUGUGAUUAUUUUUUUGUUGUUUGUUUUCACGUAACUCGUGUAGUUGAAAAGUUAAAUUCAAUUACUUUUUUUGUUUGUUUUGAUGUAACUUUGUGCUACUGAAAUUAAUUUUUUGAGUUUCAUUGUUUGUUUUGAUGUAAGUAAGUGGAUCCCGUUAUCUUCUGAAUAUAAUGGUAAACUUACCGCUAUAAAAUUUAACCUAUUAAAUAAUUAAAAUUUUCAUUAUUAUUUAAAGAUAAUCCUAAUUUAUUAUAAAUAAGGUAAUUCUAACCCAUUAUAAAGGAAGUAGAGUUUAGGUUUUACUAUUUAAUAAACUUUUUAGAGAAGGUUGAGUGUGGUGGACCUCAAGUUCAUUACUUCCGGUAUUUGUUUCGGUGGAAGUGAAAAAUAUAGUGUAACUCAAGUUACGUUAGAGCUCCACUUCACCUAUUCUCGACUUUUCUCUCUAAAGUGCCGAACUCGACUUCCACCACACUCAACCUUCUCUAAAAAGUUUAUUAAACAGUAAAACCUAAACUCUACUUCCUUUAUAAUGGGUUAGAAUUACCUUAUUUAUAAUAAAUUAGGAUUACCUUUAAAUAAUAAUAAAAAGUUUAAUUAUAUAAUAGGUUCAAUUUUAUACUGGUAAAUUUACUACUAUAUUUAGGAGAUAAUGGGAUCCACUUACUUACAUCAAAAUAAACAACGAAAUUCAAAAAAACUAAUUUUACGAGCACCAAGUUAAUUACAAACAAACAGAAGAAGUAAUUGAAUUUAACUUUCAGACGGUACGAGUUACGUCAAAACAAACAACAAAAAAAUAAUCACACUUCAAGAAAACUCAAAUACCACUACACUUGACUUACGUUGGAUCUACAAAUUCGUCAAUCCAAACGCGCCCUUAACUGAACCUUCGUACAACCGCAUUUGCUACUGGUUGGCUCAAGGGACCUUAUGCCCAUCCACCUAUACUAUAUUUGAGUUACUAAUUAUGAGUCUACUUGGAUAUUGGAACAUGUUAUUUGGUGAUAACAAUUAUAUUGUAGGGGCAAUUAUUUAUAUAUUUCUGAAAAGUUUCUAACUUAUUUAUCUCUCUUAAAAAAUUACUAUCUAAAAUAUCUUUUUAAGAUAUCAAAAUCUUUUAAAUAUAUUUCUAAAGUUAAAUUCUGUUAUUAAAUCAUUAGAAAUAGUCAUUAUCUCUGUAAAAUUACUAUUUGACCGUCACCAACAUUUUAUUUUACUCUUGUAAAUAUAUCAUUCCACCGUCCCCAACUUUUUUUAUUUGUUUUUAAGUUAGGGGCAAAAAAAAUAUAUUUUACUCUUGUAAAUAUAUAAUUUUGACGUCACUAACUUUUUUUAUUUGUUGUUAAGUUAGGAGCAAAAAAAAUAUUUUGACUUUUUGACUUUUUAAAAUGUAUUCUUCUACCGUCACUAAUUUUCUACUUAUCCUUAAAUGAGGGGCAAAAUAAGUAUUUUUACUAUUUUUUGACUAUGGUAAAUAUUUAACUCAAAUUUAAUCUCAGAUAACUUAACGAGCACUAAUACUAGGGGUACGUAUUUUAAAUAACUGAGAAGUAUAUGAGAGAUAUAUUUGAAAUAAAAAAAUAGAGGUAGGUAAAAUAUUUCAAAAAUUUUAAGAGGUAUGUUGGCAAUUAUCCCUAUAUUAUAAAAAUGUCUUCUUGUGAACUUCGUCUAUGAGUGUGCUAGGCUUUUUUUUACAAGGACUUGGCUUAGAAUAAUUCAUUUCAACAAAGGUAAUUUAAAUUGUCAAUAAAAAAUGAUAAUAAUUUGGAGUUAGUAUAAUAUACCUUUGUUGGAAACUAAUUGCAUUUGUUGAUCCAUUUUUUUUAGUCAACGAAAUAUAUGUAACAUACGAACAAGAUUUUCCUUCUUUUGUCUUUUGUGAUUGAUUUUCACCGUUUGCACCUUUAUACAGACUUAGAAACAUGAUUCGUUGGACAUUUCACCUAGAUUUACUUUUUUUUAUUCCAAGAAAAUAACUAAAGCCCUCCAAAAUUUUCGAUAUUCCAUAUCCGAUCGGGACCCUACCUGGAUUGUACCAGGAUCCUAACCGGAACCGGUAAAAAAUAGAUAGUAUAUGGGUAAAAAAUUUAUCCAUUAAUAUGAAAGUUUCUAAAUAUGGGUCCGAAUACUUUUUAUUCAUACCCGACUCGAACUCGAUCCGAACCCAAUCUUUUAAUAGGAAUGGUUCAGAAGAGUUUUCAAUCCGGACCCGUACACGGUCCUCGACUCGAACACGGUCCCGGACCCGGACCCAAACUCAAACUUGGUGAAAUAUCGGAUAGUAAAUAAAAAAAUUUGAAGUUGAGGGAUCAAUCCCAGUAAGUCUUAUAGAUGAGGGUCUCUGUGUAUUUUCAUCCUAAUAAAAACCUUAGACGCUAUGUUUACCUCUUUUUUAUUUUUUUAUUUUACUAUUUUUUUAGAAAAAAUUGCCUAUAUACUCCUCAGAACCUCAAAAUAUCUCAUUUACCUAUAUUUUUUUUUGUUCCACAUAUACCCCUUAUAUAUUUCUCUGUUAUUUAAAAAUAUCCCUACUGUUGGUGCCCGUUAAGUCAUCUCGGGUUAAAGCUGAGUUAAAUUUCUACCAUAGCUAAAAAAUAGUAAAAAUAUCUAUUUUGCCCGUAACUUAAGGAUAAAUAAGAAAAGUUAAUGACCUGAGUUAAAAAUAUCCUUACCGUUGGUGCCCGUUAAGUCAUCUCGGGUUAAACCUGAGUUAAAUUUCUACCAUAGCUAAAAAAUAGUAAAAAUAUCUAUUUUGCCCGUAACUUAAGGAUAAAUAAGAAAAGUUAAUGACGGCAGAAGAGUAUAUUUGAGAAGGCAAAAAGUCAAAAUACUUUUUUGCCCUAACUUAAGAGUAAAUAAGAAAAAUUGAUGAUGGUAGAAGGGUAUAUUUAAAAGGGCAAAAUAAUUUUACAAAGAUAACAACUGUUCCUAACAGUUCACUAACAAAAUUUAACUCUAGGGGUAUAUUUGAAAGACUUUGGAACGUCAAAAUGGCAUUUUUAAUAUUAGCCUUCUAAGAAUGAUAAAUAAGAAGUCGAAAACUUUUCAGAUUUAGAAUGAUAAAUAAGAAGUCGAAAACUUUUCAGAGGUAUAUAAGCAAUUGCCUCCAUUUUUUAGCCCUAGCUAUUUACUGCUUGAAUCUUUUUU
RNAcentral lists this long non-coding RNA (3239 nucleotides) under Ananas comosus (pineapple). Its description in RNAcentral is "long non-coding RNA (ACOM_LNC005764)". Lineage: Eukaryota; Viridiplantae; Streptophyta; Magnoliopsida; Poales; Bromeliaceae. The record is from RNAcentral.